AACCGAGAACUCCUAUGGGAGGCAGCAGUGGGGAAUAUUGCACAAUGGGCGAAAGCCUGAUGCAGCGACGCCGCGUGAGGGAUGAAGGCCUUCGGGUUGUAAACCUCUUUCAGUAGGGAAGAAGCGCAAGUGACGGUACCUACAGAAGAAGCACCGGCUAACUACGUGCCAGCAGCCGCGGUAAUACGUAGGGUGCGAGCGUUGUCCGGAAUUAUUGGGCGUAAAGAGCUUGUAGGCGGUUUGUCGCGUCUGCCGUGAAAAUCCGGGGCUCAACUCCGGACUUGCGGUGGGUACGGGCAGACUAGAGUGUGGUAGGGGAGACUGUAAUUCCUGGUGUAGCGGUGAAAUGCGCAGAUAUCAGGAGGAACACCGAUGGCGAAGGCAGGUCUCUGGGCCACUACUGACGCUGAGAAGCGAAAGCGUGGGGAGCGAACAGGAUUAGAAACCCCAGUAGUCCGACUGAGA
This 465-nucleotide ribosomal RNA is filed under the name uncultured bacterium. Its description in RNAcentral is "bacterial SSU rRNA". It matches the Rfam family "Bacterial small subunit ribosomal RNA", at positions 327 to 805 of the family's 1533-position model. The record is from RNAcentral.